UACAGAGGUCUCAAGCGUUGUUCGGAUUCAUUGGGCGUAAAGGGCGUGUAGGCGGCCCGAUAAGUCCGCCGUGAAAGUCCAGGGCUCAACCCUGGAAUGCCGGUGGAAACUGUCGGGCUGGAGUCCGGAAGAGGCGAGUGGAAUUCCUGGUGUAGCGGUGAAAUGCGCAGAUAUCAGGAGGAACACCAAUGGCGAAGGCAGCUCGCUGGGACGGUACUGACGCUGAGACGCGAAAGCGUGGGGAGCAAACAGG
Molecule: ribosomal RNA, 253 nt
Filed under: uncultured bacterium
Lineage: Bacteria
Description: partial 16S ribosomal RNA
Rfam family: Bacterial small subunit ribosomal RNA
Source: RNAcentral